UGCCAAUGGAAGCUUUUCUUUCCCAGGUGCCCUUGCGGCCCCAUCCCUGUCCCUGAACCCCCAGAAGCAGGAGUACUUCCCCGGAGACACUGUUGAAAUCAAGUGCUCUGCUCCUCCUUCGGUGGAUAGAGUUGAAGGAUUCCAGUACUACAGCAAUAUCGGAAGGGCCAUCUCAGUCCCAGCUUCAUCCAGGAGAAGCCAUACUUACAACAUAAACCUCACAGGGCCUAAGGAUGGGGGGUCGUACCAGUGCGACUACUGGAUAGGUCAAGCCGGUUCUUGGAACAGGUCCAGCAGGAGUGACGCUGUCCUCAUCAGAGUAAAAGACUUCCCUCCCUGGCCGGCGUUGAGUGUGGAUCCUCCGUCCGGAGUGGUGAGCGAAGGGCUCCCCCUGCUCAUCAUCUGCACGGCCCCCAGCAAUGCUAGUGAGCGAAGGUUUCACUUCUACAAGGAAGGAGCUGAGCUCAUCCCUGGGGACGUGGGGUCUGAGGUCAGCACCACAGAGACCAGGACCGGAUCUAUGAUGCUCAGCAUCCCGCGAGCUGGUCCCUACAGCGCCGGGGAAUUCACCUGUGCGUACGAGGAGAACAUGAGCGGGAGGUGGAUUCUGUCCCUAAGGAGCUUGGCUGUGAAUGUUACCAUGACAGCACACAGCCAUUCCUGGGUCCGGGAGCUCGCUGUGGGUGGGUCCUUCUUCACCAUUAAUAGCCUCAUCUUCCUCAUCUCCCACCUCUGCACGAAGGGCAAAGGUAAUCGCACAUUUCCCUCCCCUCUCCCUGCUUUCGCAGGACCUUGGAGGAGCUUAAACAGAUGAACCCUGAAAUUUCUCCUCCUGAGUCUCACCUGGCCAAGAGGCUGCUGCUGUAGACAACACUGAGAAGAUACCUGUCACCAGCUACACCGUUAUAUCUCCUCUUCUGACCCCUCGGCUCCACCUGCUGAAAUGCAGCCACCUCUGCGGAGGGGCACCUGGGUAACCGCCACCCCUGUAACACUGCCUAGGAAUCCCCAAGGCUGAACGGCAGCUGCUUCUUGGGUGGGGCGUGGCAGCUGGCGGGCAGCUGCAGUGUAAUGCCACAGAGGGAUCGCUCCUCCAGAUGCAGCCAUCUCUGGGGCGGCCUGCGGCAGCUGUUUAGCAGCUGAAUGCAGAUGGGAGAGCACUGCAGGCCAGAAAGAAAUGUGAAUACAGAUUCCCAGGGAAGCUGUAGCAGCUCCUCAUCUCAUCCACAGCUCCAGUGUGAUCACUGAGGGGACAGCACCCCUUAAAGGGUCAUGCAUCCCUCUAGCUGCUACACAGCGCCCCUAGUGCUAUACAGGGGCAUUGGCGAUAGCAUUUAUUGCGAAGGGAGAGAGCCCCACACUGAGCCCCUUUCCUGCUCCCUGCAACACAGCGCCCCUAGUGCUAUAGAGGGGCAUUGGGGUCAGCACUAAUUGUGAGGGCAGAGCGCCCCCUACUGAGCUCCCUUCCCUGCACCCUGCAGAACAGCGCCCACUACUGAAACCCCACAGUCACCCCCCUACUGGCUUCAUCACUUUGCUUGCUCCAAAAAGAUACCCCCUCAAAAUGUGCCCCAAGCCCCUUUCUUUCUUUGUGAUCUGAGCAUUGCCAUGUGCUUUUCUCAUUCUCAGGUUCCAAGGAGGAGCACACAAUCGGCUCAGACCCGUUUCAAUCAGAUUAUUACUCAGUCCCGGUUCAGGUGGUCACUGGUCAGUCUGGUCAUUCUGCGACCGCCAAGGCAAACCACGUCUCCAGCCCCAUGCUCCAGUCCCGUGGGAAUAACGAGUACCAGGAAGAGAUGUGAAGGCUCAGAUAC
This is a long non-coding RNA of Chrysemys picta bellii (western painted turtle), 1814 nucleotides long. The record is from Ensembl. Lineage: Eukaryota; Metazoa; Chordata; Testudines; Emydidae.